This 254-nucleotide ribosomal RNA is filed under the name uncultured bacterium. RNAcentral describes it as "partial 16S ribosomal RNA". It matches the Rfam family "Bacterial small subunit ribosomal RNA", at positions 524 to 776 of the family's 1533-position model. The record is from RNAcentral.
UACGAAGGGGGCUAGCGUUGCUCGGAAUCACUGGGCGUAAAGGGCGCGUAGGCGGCGUUUUUAAGUCGGGGGUGAAAGCCUAUGGCUCAACCACAGAAUGGCCUUCGAUACUGGGACGCUUGAGUAUGGUAGAGGUUGGUGGAACUGCGAGUGUAGAGGUGAAAUUCGUAGAUAUUCGCAAGAACACCGGUGGCGAAGGCGGCCAACUGGACCAUUACUGACGCUGAGGCGCGAAAGCGUGGGGAGCAAACAGG